UAUUGGGCAAGCGGGGAAACCCUGACGCAGCCACGCCGCGCGAGUGGGGAAGGACUUCGGUCUGUAAAGGUAUGUUAAUUUGCAAACCCGGUCCCCGGUUUAAUAGGCCGAAGAUUUGAUGGUACACAUAGAGGAAGCCCCGGCUAACUUCGUGCCAGCAGCCGCGGUAAUACGAAGGGGGCAAGCGUUGUUCGGAUUUAUUGGGCGUAAAGCGCGCGCAGGCGGACCUGUAAGUCAGAUGUGAAAUCUCGGGGCUCAACCUGGAAAGUGCGUCUGAAACUGCAGGUCUAGAAUCUUGGAGGGGGAAGGGGAAUUUCGCAUGUAGGGGUAAAAUCCGUAGAUAUGGGAAGGAACACCAGAGGCGAAGGCGCCUUCCUGGGCAGAGUAUUGACGCUGAGGCGCGAAA
RNAcentral lists this ribosomal RNA (406 nucleotides) under uncultured bacterium. RNAcentral describes it as "bacterial SSU rRNA". It matches the Rfam family "Bacterial small subunit ribosomal RNA", at positions 362 to 758 of the family's 1533-position model. The record is from RNAcentral.